GUCCCGUUCGUCUAGAGGCCUAGGACACCGCCCUUUCACGGCGGUAACACGGGUUCGAAUCCCGUACGGGACGCCA
This 76-nucleotide transfer RNA is filed under the name Acetobacter aceti. RNAcentral describes it as "tRNA-Glu". It matches the Rfam family "tRNA". Rfam says of the family: Transfer RNA (tRNA) molecules are approximately 80 nucleotides in length. Their secondary structure includes four short double-helical elements and three loops (D, anti-codon, and T loops). Lineage: Bacteria; Pseudomonadati; Pseudomonadota; Alphaproteobacteria; Acetobacterales; Acetobacteraceae. RNAcentral also lists the same sequence under 20 other names. The record is from RNAcentral.